Molecule: ribosomal RNA, 253 nt
Filed under: uncultured bacterium
Lineage: Bacteria
Description: partial 16S ribosomal RNA
Rfam family: Bacterial small subunit ribosomal RNA
Source: RNAcentral
UACAGAGGGUGCGAGCGUUGUCCGGAAUCACUGGGCGUAAAGGGCGCGUAGGUGGCGCUCCAAGUCUGUGGUGAAAGCUCGAUGCUCAACAUCGAGUCGGCCAUAGAGACUGGAGGGCUCGAGCACUGUAGGGGCAGAUGGAAUUCCGGGUGUAGCGGUGGAAUGCGUAGAGAUCCGGAAGAACACCGGUGGCGAAGGCGGUCUGCUGGGCAGUUGCUGACACUGAGGCGCGACAGCGUGGGGAGCAAACAGG